This is a long non-coding RNA of Aphis gossypii (cotton aphid), 717 nucleotides long. RefSeq lists it as uncharacterized. The transcript has 3 exons. Lineage: Eukaryota; Metazoa; Arthropoda; Insecta; Hemiptera; Aphididae. The record is from RefSeq and is a predicted model, not a curated record.
AUAAUUAAAUUAUUAUUAUUUUAUUACUCGCAUUAUUCAUUAGUAUAACUAGUAUAAGGUAAUUAUAUAAUUAAAUAUUAUGAUCAACGAUAAUAGUGCAUAUCAAAAUGGGAAGACAUCAAAAUUAUUGUCAUUCUGUAAAACUGUCCACACCAGUAACAACUUACAUUCUAAUUGAAUUUUUAUUGUGGUUUAAUUUUUUUUUAUUUAACGUUAAAAUGGAUCAACUUAAAAACGUACUCGUCAACCAUCGAAAAAGUUAUCAACUAAAAAGAAAUUGAGUAAUCGAGUGAUGAAUUUUCUAGGAAUUCAAAACAAACCAAGUAAGUAAAAUAUUAAAUGAUUAAAAUAUAAAAUAUGUAUAAAUAAUAACGUAAUAUCAGUUAUAACAAUACAUUGUUUUUAAUUAAGUCCCAAUCCAGAGGUCGUAGAAUCUGUUGUGAAACCUUUUUUCUUGGGUGAUGACAAUCAACUACCAUGCACAUCAAGGGAAACAAUUAGUCAAAAUCCAGAGCUCGUAAAAUCUGUUGAGGCACCUUUUUUCUUAGGUGCUGACAAUCAACUACCAUGCACAUCAAGGGAAACAAUUAGGCAUAAUCCUCGGCUGGCCGCCGACUACCAGUAGUGGGCGUGGUUAAAACGUCGCGUGCUUGCGGAUCACGAAAACACCUAACAGCGCGUUCUCUCGGACGUUGUAUGCGUUUCACUUUUAGUGUG